UACGUAGGUGGCGAGCGUUGUCCGGAUUUACUGGGUGUAAAGGGAGCGUAGACGGCAGAGCAAGUCUGAAGUGAAAGCCCGCGGCCCAACUGCGGGACUGCUUUGGAAACUGCCCGGCUAGAGUGCUGGAGAGGUAAGCGGAAUUCCUAGUGUAGCGGUGAAAUGCGUAGAUAUUAGGAGGAACACCAGUGGCGAAGGCGGCUUUCUGGACUGUAACUGACACUGAGGUACGAAAGCGUGGGGAGCAAACAGG
This 253-nucleotide ribosomal RNA is filed under the name uncultured bacterium. Its description in RNAcentral is "partial 16S ribosomal RNA". It matches the Rfam family "Bacterial small subunit ribosomal RNA", at positions 524 to 776 of the family's 1533-position model. The record is from RNAcentral.